This 75-nucleotide transfer RNA is filed under the name bacterium. RNAcentral describes it as "tRNA-OTHER". It matches the Rfam family "tRNA". Rfam says of the family: Transfer RNA (tRNA) molecules are approximately 80 nucleotides in length. Their secondary structure includes four short double-helical elements and three loops (D, anti-codon, and T loops). Further hydrogen bonds mediate the characteristic L-shaped molecular structure. tRNAs have two regions of fundamental functional importance: the anti-codon, which is responsible for specific mRNA codon recognition, and the 3' end, to which the tRNAs corresponding amino acid is attached (by aminoacyl-tRNA synthetases). tRNAs cope with the degeneracy of the genetic code in two manners: having more than one tRNA (with a specific anti-codon) for a particular amino acid; and 'wobble' base-pairing, i.e. permitting non-standard base-pairing at the 3rd anti-codon position. The record is from RNAcentral.
CGGGAUGUAGCUCAGUUGGCAGAGCGCUCGCUUAAUGAAAGCGAAUGGCCGCAGGUUCGAAUCCUGUCAUCUCGA